RNAcentral lists this transfer RNA (72 nucleotides) under Marmota marmota marmota (Alpine marmot). It matches the Rfam family "tRNA". Rfam says of the family: Transfer RNA (tRNA) molecules are approximately 80 nucleotides in length. Their secondary structure includes four short double-helical elements and three loops (D, anti-codon, and T loops). Further hydrogen bonds mediate the characteristic L-shaped molecular structure. tRNAs have two regions of fundamental functional importance: the anti-codon, which is responsible for specific mRNA codon recognition, and the 3' end, to which the tRNAs corresponding amino acid is attached (by aminoacyl-tRNA synthetases). tRNAs cope with the degeneracy of the genetic code in two manners: having more than one tRNA (with a specific anti-codon) for a particular amino acid; and 'wobble' base-pairing, i.e. permitting non-standard base-pairing at the 3rd anti-codon position. The record is from Rfam by way of RNAcentral. RNAcentral also lists the same sequence under 1 other name. Lineage: Eukaryota; Metazoa; Chordata; Mammalia; Rodentia; Sciuridae.
UGGGUUGUGGCUCAGAGGUAGAGCACUCGCCUAGCACGUGUGAGGCACUGGAUUCGAUCCUCAGCACCACAU